GAUGAACGCUGGCGGCGUGCCUAAUACAUGCAAGUCGAGCGAACAGAUAAGGAGCUUGCUCCUUUGACGUUAGCGGCGGACGGGUGAGUAACACGUGGAUAACCUACCUAUAAGACUGGGAUAACUUCGGGAAACCGGAGCUAAUACCGUAUAACCUAUUGAACCGCAUGGUUCAAUAGUGAAAGGCGGCUUUGCUGUCACUUAUAGAUGGAUCCGCGCCGUAUUAGCUAGUUGGUAAGGUAACGGCUUACCAAGGCAACGAUACGUAGCCGACCUGAGAGGGUGAUAGGCCACACUGGAACUGGGACACGGUCCAGACUCCUACGGGAGGCAGCAGUAGGGAAUCUUCCGCAAUGGGCGAAAGCCUGACGGAGCAACGCCGCGUGAGUGAUGAAGGUCUUCGGAUCGUAAAACUCUGUUAUCAGGGAAGAACAAAUGUGUAAGUAACUGUGCACAUCUUGACGGUACCUGAUCAGAAAGCCACGGCUAACUACGUG
This 497-nucleotide ribosomal RNA is filed under the name uncultured bacterium. Its description in RNAcentral is "partial 16S ribosomal RNA". It matches the Rfam family "Bacterial small subunit ribosomal RNA", at positions 28 to 507 of the family's 1533-position model. The record is from RNAcentral.